Molecule: ribosomal RNA, 135 nt
Filed under: uncultured bacterium
Lineage: Bacteria
Description: partial 16S ribosomal RNA
Rfam family: Bacterial small subunit ribosomal RNA
Source: RNAcentral
UGGGGAAUAUUGUACUUCUGGCGAAAGCCUGAUCCAGCAAUGCCGCGUGAGUGAUGAACGUCUUAGGGUUGUAAAGCUCUUUUACCCGGGAUGAUAAUGACCGUACCGGGAGAAUAAGCCGCGGCUAACUCCGUG